UAGGGUGGUGAAGGUUUCAUUUCUGGAACUAGUACCGGUUGAUUUUUCUUUGGUGGCAAUUUUGCAUCUAACACAGUUUUUAGUUGAUUAGAAUUAGGUGGUUCUAAGGUUACCUUGUCAGAUUUUGCAGGUUCUGGUUCUUAUGAAACUGGAAUUUCAACACUCGGUUGAACUUCCUCUGAGUCUUGAGUGCCAGCUGGCUCAUUUUCAGCUUCGAUGGUGUUGGGCUCUACUGUCUUUUCGCUCCUCAAUGUUAAAGCUUUGCAGUGUUCCUUCCCCAGAUUUCUUAGAUUCUCUAUAUCACUAGGUAAAGCAGCUUGUGG
RNAcentral lists this long non-coding RNA (323 nucleotides) under Gossypium barbadense (sea-island cotton). RNAcentral describes it as "long non-coding RNA (GBAR_LNC000679)". Lineage: Eukaryota; Viridiplantae; Streptophyta; Magnoliopsida; Malvales; Malvaceae. The record is from RNAcentral.